AUUCUGGCCUGACGUGGACGCUAGUCUCACAGAUUUAGCCAUGCAUGUGUAAGCGAAGCUAUAUGUGGAGCGGUGAAAGGCUCAGUAACGGGCGAUUUAUUUAAUCUCCUGGGACGGACAACAUCGGGAAACUGAUGGGAAAACGUCUAAGUUGCAUUAAUAUUAGUUAGUGUGACGUAAACGGUAAUCGUGCAGGAGAGUAAGAUGCCAUCCUAUCAGUUAGUAAGUAGGGUAAGGGCCUACUUAGACGAAGACGGGUACGGGGAAUGAGGGUUUGAUUCCGGAGAGGGAGCCUGAGAGAUGGCUACCAGGACCAAGGUCAGCAGCAGGCGCGAAAAUUAUCGAAGCCCGCCUAGGGGCGAUAGUGAGGAGACGUGUAUAACGAAGUACGUGUAAAGAACGUACUAAUAACUGGAGGUCAAGUCUGGUGCCAGCAUCCGCGGUAAUUCCAGCUCCAGGGGUGUCUAUGAUGAUUGCUGCGAUUAAAAAGUCCGUAGUCAAACUGACUGACUGACCUGCAAUGUGAUUGAUUAAAGAACGAGCAGGGUUAGGAAAGCAGAGAAUUAGGAGCGACCGAGGGCUAGAGUAUUGAAUGGCGAGAGGUGAAAUUUGAUGACCCAUUCAGGAGUGACAAAGGCGAAGGCACUAGUCAAGGGCGAAUCCGAUGAUCAAGGACGUAGGCUAGAGUUUCGAAAACGAUUAGAGACCGGAGUAGUUCUAGCAGUAAACUAUGCCGACGCCGUGAUAUUGUUUUUUGUGGCAGUAUUGCGGAAGAGAAAUCAAGUAAGGCUUUGGGGAGAGUACGCGCGCAAGCGAUAAAUUUAAAGGAAAUUGACGGAGGAACACCACAAGGAGUGGAGUGUGCGGCUUAAUUUGACUCAACGCGGGACAGCUUACCAGGCCCGAUAAUCGAGCGAGCGUAGUACGCGAUAGAUUAAAGAGUGGUGCAUGGCUGCUAUCGACAGUUGGGGUGACCUUAGGGUUAAUUCCGGCAAGUAGUGAGACCCCUGCAGAUAGUGGACAGGUAUUUUUAAAAUACAGGAAGGAAGGGACAAGAGCAGGUCAGUGAUGCCCUUAGAUGGCCUGGGCUGCACGCGCACUACAGUGGUCAUUAUAAGUAGAAAUUAGAAGUAAAAAUGAUCGAGAGGGACUGAGCUUUGUAAGAGGCUCACGAACGAGGAAUUGCUAGUAAUCGUAGGCUCAUUAAGAUACGAUGAAUAUGUCCCUGUACCUUGUACACACCGCCCGUCGUUAUCGAAGAUGGAAUUGUGUGCGAACGAGCAACAAGCGAGUGAGCGCAUAGUUCUAGAUGUGAUAAAAGUCGUAACAAGGCAACUGUAGGAGAACCUGUAGUUGGAUCA
Molecule: ribosomal RNA, 1361 nt
Filed under: Dictyocoela muelleri
Lineage: Eukaryota; Fungi; Microsporidia
Description: bacterial SSU rRNA
Rfam family: Microsporidia small subunit ribosomal RNA
Source: RNAcentral